This 521-nucleotide ribosomal RNA is filed under the name uncultured Glomeraceae. Its description in RNAcentral is "SSU rRNA". It matches the Rfam family "Eukaryotic small subunit ribosomal RNA", at positions 569 to 1092 of the family's 1831-position model. The record is from RNAcentral. Lineage: Eukaryota; Fungi; Glomeromycota; Glomeromycetes; Glomerales; Glomeraceae.
AGCAGCCGCGGUAAUUCCAGCUCCAAUAGCGUAUAUUAAAGUUGUUGCAGUUAAAAAGCUCGUAGUUGAAUUUCGGGACCAAUAUGUUGGUCGUGCCUUGGUACGUACUGGCGUCAUUGGUUUCUACCUUCUGAAGAACCUCGAUGUCAUUAAUUUGGUGUCUUGGGGAAUCAGGACUGUUACUUUGAAAAAAUUAGAGUGUUUAAAGCAGGCUCACGCUUGAAUACAUUAGCAUGGAAUAAUGAAAUAGGACGUUUGAUUCUAUUUUGUUGGUUUCUAGGAUCGACGUAAUGAUUAAUAGGGAUAGUUGGGGGCAUUAGUAUUCAAUUGUCAGAGGUGAAAUUCUUGGAUUUAUUGAAGACUAACUACUGCGAAAGCAUUUGCCAAGGAUGUUUUCAUUAAUCAAGAACGAAAGUUAGGGGAUCGAAGACGAUCAGAUACCGUCGUAGUCUUAACCAUAAACUAUGCCGACUAGGGAUCGGAUGAUGUUAAUUUUUUAAUGACUCAUUCGGCGCCUUACG